UGGAAGUAUAAAAAUGUAACAAGGUCUUCCGUAGGUGAACCUGCGGAAGGAUCAUUA
This 57-nucleotide ribosomal RNA is filed under the name Moniliophthora perniciosa. RNAcentral's name for it is "partial 18S ribosomal RNA". Lineage: Eukaryota; Fungi; Basidiomycota; Agaricomycetes; Agaricales; Marasmiaceae. The record is from RNAcentral.